Molecule: ribosomal RNA, 158 nt
Filed under: uncultured Phaselicystis sp.
Lineage: Bacteria; Pseudomonadati; Myxococcota; Polyangiales; Phaselicystidaceae
Description: partial 16S ribosomal RNA
Rfam family: Bacterial small subunit ribosomal RNA
Source: RNAcentral
UGGGGAAUUUUGCGCAAUGGGCGAAAGCCUGACGCAGCGACGCCGCGUGAGCGAUGAAGGCCUUCGGGUUGUAAAGCUCUGUGGGGAGGGACGAAUAAGUCGGAGCGAACAGCUCCGAUGAUGACGGUACCUCCUUAGCAAGCACCGGCUAACUCUGU